This 106-nucleotide long non-coding RNA is filed under the name Fukomys damarensis (Damara mole-rat). RNAcentral describes it as "lncRNA (ENSFDAG00000023188.1)". The record is from RNAcentral. Lineage: Eukaryota; Metazoa; Chordata; Mammalia; Rodentia; Bathyergidae.
UGAGCGGAGGGAAAGAAAUUGCUGUCAUUACUUUUCAAGAAAGGAGGUAGUAUUGUGAAAGCCAGCCAAGCUUGGGUGAGAGGUUCUAUACAACAUAAGUAUCCCC